UACGGAAGGCAGCAGUGGGGAAUAUUGCACAAUGGGCGCAAGCCUGAUGCAGCCAUGCCGCGUGUAUGAAGAAGGCCUUCGGGUUGUAAAGUACUUUCAGUCGUGAGGAAGGUGUUAAGGUUAAUAACCUUAGCAAUUGACGUUAGCGACAGAAGAAGCACCGGCUAACUCCGUGCCAGCAGCCGCGGUAAUACGGAGGGUGCGAGCGUUAAUCGGAAUUACUGGGCGUAAAGGGCACGCAGGCGGUUAAUUAAGUUGGAUGUGAAAUCCCCGGGCUUAACCUGGGAAUGGCAUUCAAGACUGGUUAGCUAGAGUCUUGUAGAGGGGGUAGAAUUCCAUGUGUAGCGGUGAAAUGCGUAGAGAUGUGGAGGAAUACCGGGUGGGCGAAGGCGGCCCCUGGGACAAAGACUGACGCUCAUGUGCGAAAGCGUGGGGAGCAAACAGGAUUAGAUACC
RNAcentral lists this ribosomal RNA (455 nucleotides) under uncultured bacterium. RNAcentral's name for it is "bacterial SSU rRNA". It matches the Rfam family "Bacterial small subunit ribosomal RNA", at positions 340 to 786 of the family's 1533-position model. The record is from RNAcentral.